This 371-nucleotide long non-coding RNA is filed under the name Brassica napus (rape). Its description in RNAcentral is "long non-coding RNA (BNAP_LNC023916)". Lineage: Eukaryota; Viridiplantae; Streptophyta; Magnoliopsida; Brassicales; Brassicaceae. The record is from RNAcentral.
CAAAGUGAAGCAGGUCGUGGAAGGUCUCAUACUGCUGGCGCUCCACCUUUUGGGCAAUGCGGUCUUGUAACCCAUCCAUGAACUGAGCCAUCAUGGUCUCUUGCGUCUCGCGUGUCUUGAGCUUGUUCCUGAGGGACUCAAACUCCUCAUAGUACUCUUCUACAGUCCGCGUUCCCAGAGACAAUUUACGAAAACGUUUCUGUAAGUCUCGUUGAUAAUAAGCAGGAACAUACCUUGUGCGAAGCUUGGAUCGCAUCUCUUCCCAAGUCUCAACUCUAUAGACUCGGCCGGUCUCGGACACUUCUCUGUCCCACCAAGAUAGAGCAUUCUCGGUCAGUUGGGCCGCGGCUAAGGCUAUCUUCCUGGCCUCA